AAAUUGAAGAGUUUGAUCAUGGCUCAGAUUGAACGCUGGCGGCAGGCCUAACACAUGCAAGUCGAACGGUAACAGGAAGCAGCUUGCUGCUUCGCUGACGAGUGGCGGACGGGUGAGUAAUGUCUGGGAAACUGCCUGAUGGAGGGGGAUAACUACUGGAAACGGUGGCUAAUACCGCAUAACGUCGCAAGACCAAAGAGGGGGACCUUCGGGCCUCUUGCCAUCAGAUGUGCCCAGAUGGGAUUAGCUUGUUGGUGAGGUAACGGCUCACCAAGGCGACGAUCCCUAGCUGGUCUGAGAGGAUGACCAGCCACACUGGAACUGAGACACGGUCCAGACUCCUACGGGAGGCAGCAGUGGGGAAUAUUGCACAAUGGGCGCAAGCCUGAUGCAGCCAUGCCGCGUGUAUGAAGAAGGCCUUCGGGUUGUAAAGUACUUUCAGCGGGGAGGAAGGUGUUGCGGUUAAUAACCGCAGCAAUUGACGUUACCCGCAG
Molecule: ribosomal RNA, 494 nt
Filed under: Salmonella enterica
Lineage: Bacteria; Pseudomonadati; Pseudomonadota; Gammaproteobacteria; Enterobacterales; Enterobacteriaceae
Description: bacterial SSU rRNA
Rfam family: Bacterial small subunit ribosomal RNA
Source: RNAcentral